Molecule: transfer RNA, 84 nt
Filed under: Bacilli bacterium PM5-3
Lineage: Bacteria; Bacillati; Bacillota; Bacilli
Also listed under: 1 other name
Description: tRNA-Leu
Rfam family: tRNA
About the family: Transfer RNA (tRNA) molecules are approximately 80 nucleotides in length. Their secondary structure includes four short double-helical elements and three loops (D, anti-codon, and T loops).
Source: RNAcentral
GCGGAUGUGGCGGAACUGGCAGACGCGCUAGACUUAGGAUCUAGUGUCUAUGACGUGCAGGUUCGAUUCCUGUCAUCCGCACCA